RNAcentral lists this ribosomal RNA (753 nucleotides) under uncultured Mycoplasmataceae bacterium. RNAcentral's name for it is "bacterial SSU rRNA". It matches the Rfam family "Bacterial small subunit ribosomal RNA", at positions 621 to 1397 of the family's 1533-position model. Lineage: Bacteria; Bacillati; Mycoplasmatota; Mollicutes; Mycoplasmatales; Mycoplasmataceae. The record is from RNAcentral.
AUGCAUUGGAAACUGUUAACCUAGAGUUUGGUAGAGAGUUCUGGAACUCCAUGUGGAGCGGUGGAAUGCGUAGAUAUAUGGAAGAACACCAGUUGCGAAGGCGAGAACUUGGGCCACAACUGACGCUUAGGCUCGAAAGUGUGGGGAGCAAAUAGGAUUAGAUACCCUAGUAGUCCACACCGUAAACGAUGGGUGUUAAACGUCGGGAUUUAAUCUCGGUGUUGUAGUUAACACAUUAAACACCCUGCCUGGGUAGUACAUUCGCAAGAAUGAAACUCAAACGGAAUUGACGGGGACCCGCACAAGUGGUGGAGCAUGUUGUUUAAUUCGACGAUACACGUAGAACCUUACCUAGACUUGACAUCCUUGGCGAAGUUAUAGAAAUAUAAUGGAGGUUAACCGAGAGACAGGUGGUGCAUGGUUGUCGUCAGCUCGUGUCGUGAGAUGUUGGGUUAAGUCCCGCAACGAGCGCAACCCUUAUCGUUAGUUAUUUUGUCUAACGAGACUGCCAACGCAAGUUGGAGGAAGGCGGGGAUGACGUCAAAUCAUCAUGCCCCUUAUGUCUAGGGCCACAAACGUGCUACAAUGGUCGGUACAAACAGUCGCUAAUUCGUAAGAUAGAGCUAAUCUGUAAAGCCGAUCUCAGUUCGGAUAGAGGGCUGAAAUUCGCCCUCUUGAAGUUGGAAUCACUAGUAAUCGCGAAUCAGCCAUGUCGCGGUGAAUACGCUCUCGGGUCUUGUACACACCGCCCGU